CCACAUUUCGCCCCAAAUCAUCCCCUCCAGGGGAAGGAAAUGGCUGCAAUGGAGCUGGCUCAGGGCUGCCAACAGGGGAGUUUGCAGGGGGAGGUGGAAGGGGGAGGCACCGUGUCCCCUGUGCUCCCCAGGUAAGAAUGCCGAGCGAGGCCGAGACAGCAGCAGCCAUGAGCCAAGAAGCAGAGGACACACCGAGGAUGAGAGCAUGCAGCAGCUGCGGCGAAGGCAGGUCUACGUGAUUGGGGAUUCCAUACUGAGAAGGUUGGACAGGCCUGUGACC
Long non-coding RNA from Mauremys mutica (yellowpond turtle), 280 nucleotides. RefSeq lists it as uncharacterized. Lineage: Eukaryota; Metazoa; Chordata; Testudines; Geoemydidae. The record is from RefSeq and is a predicted model, not a curated record. The transcript has 3 exons.